Molecule: RNA transcript, 2057 nt
Organism: Morus notabilis
Lineage: Eukaryota; Viridiplantae; Streptophyta; Magnoliopsida; Rosales; Moraceae
Exons: 9
Source: RefSeq, a predicted model, not a curated record
CCAAACUACAGAAGUUGGAACUUAGAACGUGCUUAUGGUGCCUUCAUGGCUAUAAAACUCCCAAGUCUCCAACAUUUUGAAGUUGACAAGUUGUACAAGUCAUCGUAUUCCCGACGCGGUACCGGAAUUCUUACACACCAUAGAAGUUCACCAUUUGGGGUCAAAAUCAAGAAACAAAGGAAAUGGAUGCGUUGAAAACAAACAAAAAAGAAUGAUAAACACCAAUAACCAACCAAUGAUUACCAAGCCAUAUCAAGUAAAAAUAGCUCUAGUACAGAAACGAAACGUGAUAUUAAUACUCAAAAGGCAAAGCGAGAAGGGAAAGGGUUCAUCAGUUCAUGUCCAUCGACUCGCAUGAAAAAUGCAGCUUCUCAAACUCAGAGUUGCUGUCCUUCUCCCACCUCCAAAUGUAACCUUCAAAACCAAGUGCAUUUCUUCUUCUUCUUCUUCUUCUUCUUCUUCUUCUCUGCAAUACUCAGCUUGGUCUGGUCUAGAGACCUGGAGAGAGAGCCCAAUCAACGAAGAUCGAAGAUGGGGACAGAAUGGUCCAGAGCCACAGCCCUCAAUAAGAGAUGAAAACGACCCUCCAUUAACGGCGUCGUCAACUUUAUCUCUGGCGGAGCUUGGUACUCUGGUUCUGAAGACCAGUGACCCUCUCGCCAAGUCGAGGCUUUCCCAUGUCGUCUACUCCACAUGGCGCCUUCAUAACCUCCCUAUCGGCGCCGCCCAACCGCCUUCUCGCCCCUCUCGCCCUCCCAAACCCCACCUGGUAUCCCCAAAGGAGAUUCCCGCUCCCAAAAACUCAGGGUUGCCUCUGAAUGCCUAUAUGCUUCAUAAUCUUGCUCAUGUGGAGCUCAAUGCCAUUGAUUUGGCGUGGGACACUGUUGUUCGUUUCUCACCUUUUAGUGAGAUUCUUGGGGAGGGAUUCUUUGCGGAUUUCGCUCAUGUUGCCGAUGACGAGAGUCGCCAUUUCGCUUGGUGCUCUCAGAGACUUGCCGAGCUUGGUUACAAAUAUGGAGAUAUAGCUGCUCAUAAUUUGCUUUGGAGGGAGUGUGAGAAAACGUCUGAUAAUGUUGCUGCGCGUUUGGCUGCAAUUCCUCUAGUCCAGGAGGCGAGAGGUCUUGAUGCUGGGCCUAGACUCGUGCAAAGAUUGGUUGGCUUUGGUGACCUGCGAACGUCUAAUAUUGUAGCUAGAAUUGCUGAUGAAGAAGUUGCACAUGUAGCUGUUGGUGUCCAUUGGUUUGUCGAUGUAUGUCGGAGAAUGGAUCGCGAUCCAGGCGUCGCUUUUAAAGACUUGUUAAAAGAGUAUAAUGUAGAGUUGAAAGGCCCUUUCAAUUAUUCAGCUCGUGAUAUAGCCGGCAUUCCACGAGAUUGGUAUGAUGCGUCAUCUGCAAACAAAGAGGACAAAAAUGAGCAUCUUUCCGCGGUUUAUGACAGGCUUGCUUCCAUCAUAUCCUUGGAGAGUGAGAAUUCAAGUUUGAAUAGGCCUUCUGAAUGAAUUUUCUGCUCGAAAUCAGCAAUAUUGUGCUCGAAGAUUGCUCUCUGGACUUUCAUGGUUCAAUUUUGUCAUGAAGCAGCUUUUCUCUUGGUUUGCAAUGACAAUCAACAGAAAAUGUUUUGAUGGGAAUUUCCCAAGUUGCUUUGCGUGGAGAGUUGGUGUUCCCGUAGUUGGUUCCGUUGCACGUGCGGAUGGUAGAGCAUUGGUGGAGUCGCAUGGUUUUAGUUCUCUUUCUCAUGCUCGAGUUGGCUCCUGUUUGGAGUGUGAUGCCCCGCUUGGAAUGUGAUGCUUGGAUGUGUCGGCUACUAGAAACUUUGGUUUGAAGGGGAGCUCAAUGGACACACACACAUAAGGAGGAGAUUAUUAAGAAAAUUGUAUGUAUGUGUUGUCUCACAUAGAAAAUGAGUGGAGAUGUGAAAUAGUUUAUAUAUAUACAUGGAAAGACUAGGACCCAAUAAGUUAAUCGUUUAGGUUAAGAUGGACUUUUAAAGUGUGUUAGGUCAAUUUUACAUGCACGUGGACCAAGACCCAAAUUUGUUUGUUUUUUUUUCUUUUUUUU